UCCGAGUUGACCCCGGCAGUCUUCGAUGAGUCCCCGCCAUAACGCGCUGGCAACAUCGAACGAGGGUUGCGCUCGUUGCGGGACUUAACCCAACAUCUCACGACACGAGCUGACGACAGCCAUGCAGCAUCUGUGAUGGUCAGGCCGAACCGACCCUGCGUUUCCGCAGGUGCGACCACCAUGUCAAGCCCAGGUAAGGUUCUUCGCGUUGCUUCGAAUUAAAGAACAUGCUCCGCUGCUUGUGCGGGCCCCCGUCAAUUCUUUUGAGUUUUAGCCUUGCGGCCGUACUCCCCAGGCGGAACACUUAACGCGUUGGCUGCGGCACCCAGGGGGUCAAUACCCCGGACACCUAGUGCCCAUCGUUUACAGCGUGGACUAC
RNAcentral lists this unclassified non-coding RNA (379 nucleotides) under uncultured Actinomycetes bacterium. RNAcentral describes it as "uncultured actinobacterium contains 16S-23S intergenic spacer region". Lineage: Bacteria; Bacillati; Actinomycetota; Actinomycetes. The record is from RNAcentral.